Non-coding RNA from Kogia breviceps (pygmy sperm whale), 250 nucleotides. Lineage: Eukaryota; Metazoa; Chordata; Mammalia; Artiodactyla; Physeteridae. The record is from RefSeq and is a predicted model, not a curated record.
CUUCUCCGAGGAAAGUACUGGAGGUUCUAGAGGUUCCAGCUCUGAACUGGGAAAUAAAGGUUGGGGAGGCAGGAAUAAUGAGUUGGCCCAUCCUUGUCCAGGAGAGAGAAAAGGUGAGGAGUACAGAAAGGAUCUUAGCUCCCUGACCAGGGAUUGAACCCGGGCUAUGGCAGUGAAAGCGUCGAGUCCUAGCCACUGGACUGCCAGGGAAUUCCUGGAACCGAAGUUUUCAUUUUAAUUAAUUAAAAUA